Molecule: ribosomal RNA, 253 nt
Filed under: uncultured bacterium
Lineage: Bacteria
Description: partial 16S ribosomal RNA
Rfam family: Bacterial small subunit ribosomal RNA
Source: RNAcentral
GACGAAGGGGGCUAGCGUUGUUCGGAAUCACUGGGCGUAAAGCGCAUGCAGGCGGAUCGUUAAGUCGGGGGUGAAAGCCCGAGGCUCAACCUCGGAACUGCCUUCGAUACUGGCGAUCUUGAGUCCGGGAGAGGUGAGUGGAACUCCGAGUGUAGAGGUGAAAUUCGUAGAUAUUCGGAAGAACACCAGUGGCGAAGGCGGCUCACUGGCCCGGUACUGACGCUGAGAUGCGAAAGCGUGGGGAGCAAACAGG